CCCUUAGAUGUCCGGGGCCGCACGCGCGCUACACUGAAGGAAUCAGCGUGGCUUUCUCCCUGACCCGAAAGGGUUGGGAAACCCGUUGAAUCUCCUUCGUGAUAGGGAUUGGGGCUUGAAAUUGUUCCCCAUGAACGAGGAAUUCCCAGUAAGCGCGAGUCAUAAGCUCGCGUUGAUUACGUCCCUGCCCUUUGUACACACCGCCCGUCGCUACUACCGAUUGAAUGGUCCGGUGAAAUCUUCGGAUUGAGACUUUGAUUUCUUCACGGAAAACGCUGUUUUAAAAAGUUGAUUAAACCUUACCAUUUAGAGGAAGGUGAAGUCGUAACA
This 330-nucleotide ribosomal RNA is filed under the name uncultured eukaryote. RNAcentral's name for it is "partial 18S ribosomal RNA". It matches the Rfam family "Eukaryotic small subunit ribosomal RNA", at positions 1470 to 1796 of the family's 1831-position model. The record is from RNAcentral.